GGGGGUGUCAUGGUUUCGACUGGACGCGCUUAGCGUUAGCGGCAUGUCGAGGAUGAUCGUUGGCCUCGUAAAAAUUCGAUCAAACCAAUAACUGCGAACGAAGAGUACGCACUCGCUGCCUGAUGCGGCGACGUCACCUCCCUGACGGGUGCUAAGGGAAGGUGGCGACGACAGCGCCCUGGUCCGUAGGCUUUUUUCAUUGACUCCGGACGAGAUUUCAAAUGAACUAGUCGUAAAGCCGCCUGUCUGCCGGCAAGGCUGCGCGACGAUAAGCAGAAAAGACAGAACAAACAUGUAGAUGCUAGCGUAAUGCCAUCACAGGACGCGGGUUCGACUCCCGCCACCUCCACCA
Molecule: transfer-messenger RNA, 352 nt
Filed under: Victivallales
Lineage: Bacteria; Pseudomonadati; Lentisphaerota; Lentisphaeria
Also listed under: 1 other name
Description: UBA1829 sp900548385 Standard tmRNA
Rfam family: transfer-messenger RNA
About the family: Bacterial tmRNA, also known as 10Sa RNA or SsrA, is named for its dual tRNA and mRNA-like properties. Its role is to liberate the mRNA from a stalled ribosome.
Source: RNAcentral